RNAcentral lists this ribosomal RNA (1140 nucleotides) under Triticum aestivum (bread wheat). Its description in RNAcentral is "partial small subunit ribosomal RNA". Lineage: Eukaryota; Viridiplantae; Streptophyta; Magnoliopsida; Poales; Poaceae. The record is from RNAcentral.
AUGUGCAGAUUGCAAGGUUGGGCCGACCUCCCGGAGGGUCUUUUGGGAUCCAUCAUUGCUCGGCUUGGCCUGGUCUCGUUCUCUGAUCUUGUUGCCUUUUCUCCAUCUUGUCGCUCUUGGCAUGCCGCCUUCUCCACCUUCAUACAACUGCUCCCACCUCUCCUUCUCCGGCCUAAUCUCCCUAUAUGCUUUCCUCCUCGUCCUCACGUGACCAACAACCUGGUACAAACACGGCCAUGCCAUGCCACUAAUUUAGCAAACCAAGACACCUAUCAUUGCUGUCAGAUUCCCCAACAUAGUUUUGGUGAAAACAAUGCCCCACUAAGUCCUCUAGAAUGGUUUUGCUUCAAUGGUGUUGCCUAUGGUCAUCCCAUUUUCUCAAGAGAUAAAUCAUGCCUCGUUGUUGAUGUGUUCAUAGGUGUUAGUUUCUCAUCCCCACAACUAUUGGUCAUUAAGGACAUCGGGAUCUUCUAUCCUGCCCUCGCUGCUCUUCUAGCAUCACCUAACUCACAUAUCGUUGUUGAUAUCGGAUCACACAAUUUGUUUUGGCGUGUUGGUAGUCAAUAUUGGGUGGGACGUUCUCCUGAUGAUGGACCAAUCAAGCAAAUUGUGGUCUUCAAAGGGCGUGUUUUUAGCAUCGAUUCGGAUCUCAAACUCUUCAAAGUGCAGUUGAGACCCCAGGUUUGCAUACAGGAAAUACCAGCUAUGGAGUCGAGCAUGAUUAAAAAAUGGCAUCAUUCUAAUGGAUGGCUGGUGAUUUGCGGUGAUAUGCUUCUCUUGGUGGCCUUAUGGGGACCUAUUAUAGUAACAGGGGCAACCUUCGAAAUCUUCCGCCUUGACCUAUCGACUGAACCUGCAUCAUGGAUGAAGGUGGAGAAGCUAGAGAAUUGGGUGAUAUUCAUUAGCACCGACAAGAGAAGUCAGGGAUUGUCUUGAAUGAACCCAGAGAUAUAGGGAGGGAGGAGCAACUGCAUAUAUUGCUAUAAUCAUGAAUCUAAACAUCCGUGGCAGAAGCAGUUGGGCAAGCCACUACAGGGAGAUGGCUCCACCUCGACAUUCAAUCCAAACGUCUUCAUAUUCACCGGCAGUAGGGUGCAACCUAUGUGGGUUGUCCCUUGCGUGCUCUCCUUGUGUCGGUGA